Humulus lupulus (European hop) is the source of this 1521-nucleotide long non-coding RNA. RefSeq lists it as uncharacterized. Lineage: Eukaryota; Viridiplantae; Streptophyta; Magnoliopsida; Rosales; Cannabaceae. The record is from RefSeq and is a predicted model, not a curated record. The transcript is spliced from 3 exons.
AAAUAAUCAAAACCCGAUACCGUUUCACCCUAACCCCCCCUCUCUCUCUCUCUCCCUCGUCUUCAUCAUCUACGGCCAACCAUGGCCACCAUAGAUGAGCUCAGUGAAUCAAGUUCUAUCUUUUCCCGAUGCCAAAGAGCCACAAUAAGAAGUAAAAAAAACGAUUCAAAUGCUUUGUCUAUUUCACCUGGCUACACCAGAUGAGGAGUCCAGAAAUUAGGAAUAUGGCUCUACUGGGUAUGGGGGACCAACGUGCAUGAGGCUUCAAUGCUUUGUCCGCUACUAUGGUUGUAGCUUGUUUGGUACAACUUAGUUCUCUACUAUUGAAUAUGAUACAUAUGUGAUUGAAAUCAAAAUGAGACUUUCAAAUUAAUGAUCAUUGUCGUAAAUUUGAAGGUACUAUCGAUCGGCUCAUUAUUAGUCUUCAAUGCUUUAGGUGUCAUUGUGGCAACUUCAAUGUAAGACUGAGUAAUCAUCCCUACUGCCAAGAAAUUAAUUGGACAUGAACAAGGUUAACCCAGCUACAACAUACAAGGAAUAAGAUUUGCAAUGUACGCAGUUAUGAUAGUCAACAUCGAAUUCUUGGAACAUCUUUUACUAGAUGCUCCAAAAUUUCGAUGCUAACUACCACAACAACAUACAUUGCAAGUAUUAUUCUCAUAUGUUGUAAGUGGGUGAACCCUUGUUUAUGGUCAGUUACUUUUUUGACAUUAUGGACGAUAACCUAGUUGUAUAUUGGAGUUGUCACAAUAACUCCUAAAACAUCGAAUACCACCAGUGAUAUUGAUGGUACCUUCGAGUUUGAGACCACAAUCAUCAUUUUGAAAAGUGGCAUUUUGAUUUUAACAAUAUAUAUGUGUGUCAUAUUCAACAGUGGAGAAAUUAAGUUGUAUCAAGCUAAAAACAAGCUUGUUUUGGUGUGAAGUAGGAAAAAAAUAAUUGAUAGAAAGCUGUGUAUUCCCAAGUAUUAAGUAAACUAGUGAUUACCACGUAUGGGUCCACCAAGGUCACUGAUUGUGAUGACUUUCUACUAAUAGAUGACCAUGGCUUCCCAUACUUCGAUGAAUAUAUUAUAAAUUUUAAAUAAAAUGGUCAAUAGAAGCUUCUUUAAAAUUAGGUUUUUUUUUUCAAAAUAAUUAAUUGCUGAGCAUAUAUAUAUAACUAGAUAUAUAUUUAAAAAAAAACAUUUUUAAAAGAAAACUUGAGUGUUUGACAUAGGACAUGAGGCUCCACUCGUUUCUAACGCUGAUUUUUUUUUCUCCUUCUGUUAGCGAGAUGGGAAAAGAGAGUGGAAAGAAAAGUUUAGAGAGAAAUUGAAACAAUUAUUUAUUUGGUAAUGAGAGUUAGAAAAAAAAAACUAAAUGGUCCUAACAAAAUAUAAUCUUUCAAAUUUGAGGGAGGAGUGUGUAUAAAACAUUUUUUAUUUUUUCAAAUUGAUAGAAAGCUACACAAUUUUGUUGGUUUGUGUUUUUGACCUUGGGAAAGACAUUAAAUGAUGUUAUCUUCCAAAUUGGAGGAAAA